GAUGAACGCUAGCUACAGGCUUAACACAUGCAAGUCGAGGGGCAGCAUGGUCUUAGCUUGCUAAGGCCGAUGGCGACCGGCGCACGGGUGAGUAACACGUAUCCAACCUGCCGUCUACUCUUGGACAGCCUUCUGAAAGGAAGAUUAAUACAAGAUGGCAUCAUGAGUCCGCAUGUUCACAUGAUUAAAGGUAUUCCGGUAGACGAUGGGGAUGCGUUCCAUUAGAUAGUAGGCGGGGUAACGGCCCACCUAGUCUUCGAUGGAUAGGGGUUCUGAGAGGAAGGUCCCCCACAUUGGAACUGAGACACGGUCCAAACUCCUACGGGAGGCAGCAGUGAGGAAUAUUGGUCAAUGGGCGAGAGCCUGAACCAGCCAAGUAGCGUGAAGGAUGACUGCCCUAUGGGUUGUAAACUUCUUUUAUAAAGGAAUAAAAGUCGGGUAUGGAUACCCGUUUGCAUGUACUUUAUGAAUAAGGAUCGGCU
RNAcentral lists this ribosomal RNA (482 nucleotides) under uncultured bacterium. RNAcentral describes it as "bacterial SSU rRNA". It matches the Rfam family "Bacterial small subunit ribosomal RNA", at positions 28 to 498 of the family's 1533-position model. The record is from RNAcentral.